RNAcentral lists this ribosomal RNA (801 nucleotides) under Acinetobacter radioresistens WC-A-157. RNAcentral's name for it is "bacterial SSU rRNA". It matches the Rfam family "Bacterial small subunit ribosomal RNA", at positions 29 to 825 of the family's 1533-position model. The record is from RNAcentral. Lineage: Bacteria; Pseudomonadati; Pseudomonadota; Gammaproteobacteria; Moraxellales; Moraxellaceae.
UUGAACGCUGGCGGCAGGCUUAACACAUGCAAGUCGAGCGGAUGAAAGUAGCUUGCUACCGGAUUCAGCGGCGGACGGGUGAGUAAUGCUUAGGAAUCUGCCUAUUAGUGGGGGACAACGUUCCGAAAGGAGCGCUAAUACCGCAUACGUCCUACGGGAGAAAGCAGGGGACCUUCGGGCCUUGCGCUAAUAGAUGAGCCUAAGUCGGAUUAGCUAGUUGGUAGGGUAAAGGCCUACCAAGGCGACGAUCUGUAGCGGGUCUGAGAGGAUGAUCCGCCACACUGGGACUGAGACACGGCCCAGACUCCUACGGGAGGCAGCAGUGGGGAAUAUUGGACAAUGGGGGGAACCCUGAUCCAGCCAUGCCGCGUGUGGGAAGAAGGCCUUUUGGUUGUAAAGCACUUUAAGCGAGGAGGAGGCUACCUAGAUUAAUACUUUAGGAUAGAGGACGUUACUCGCAGAAUAAGCACCGGCUAACUCUGUGCCAGCAGCCGCGGUAAUACAGAGGGUGCGAGCGUUAAUCGGAUUUACUGGGCGUAAAGCGUGCGUAGGCGGCCAAUUAAGUCAAAUGUGAAAUCCCCGAGCUUAACUUGGGAAUUGCAUUCGAUACUGGUUGGCUAGAGUAUGGGAGAGGAUGGUAGAAUUCCAGGUGUAGCGGUGAAAUGCGUAGAGAUCUGGAGGAAUACCGAUGGCGAAAGCAGCCAUCUGGCCUAAUACUGACGCUGAGGUACGAAAGCAUGGGGAGCAAACAGAUUAGAUACCCUGGUAGUCCAUGCCGUAAACGAUGUCUACUAGCCGUUG